UGGGGAAUUUUGGACAAUGGGCGCAAGCCUGAUCCAGCAAUGCCGCGUGCAGGAUGAAGGCCUUCGGGUUGUAAACUGCUUUUGUACGGAACGAGACGGUCUUUUCUAAUACAGAAGGCUAAUGACGGUACCUGAAGAAUAAGCACCGGCUAACUACGUGCCAGCAGCCGCGGUAAUACGUAGGGUGCAAGCGUUAAUCGGAAUUACUGGGCGUAAAGCGUGCGCAGGCGGUUAUGCAAGACAGAUGUGAAAUCCCCGGGCUCAACCUGGGAACUGCAUUUGUGACUGCAUAGCUGGAGUGCGGCAGAGUGGGAUGGAAUUCCGCGUGUAGCAGUGAAAUGCGUAGAUAUGCGGAGGAACACCGAUGGCGAAGGCAAUCCCCUGGACCUGUACUGACGCUCAUGCACGAAAGCGUGGGGAGCAAACA
RNAcentral lists this ribosomal RNA (427 nucleotides) under uncultured bacterium. RNAcentral's name for it is "bacterial SSU rRNA". It matches the Rfam family "Bacterial small subunit ribosomal RNA", at positions 355 to 774 of the family's 1533-position model. The record is from RNAcentral.